GACGAACGCUGGCGGCGUGCUUAACACAUGCAAGUCGAACGGAAAGGCCCUGCUUUUGUGGGGUGCUCGAGUGGCGAACGGGUGAGUAACACGUGAGUAACCUGCCCUUGACUUUGGGAUAACUUCAGGAAACUGGGGCUAAUACCGGAUAGGAGCUCCUGCUGCAUGGUGGGGGUUGGAAAGUUUCGGCGGUUGGGGAUGGACUCGCGGCUUAUCAGCUUGUUGGUGGGGUAGUGGCUUACCAAGGCUUUGACGGGUAGCCGGCCUGGGAGGGUGACCGGCCACAUUGGGACUGAGAUACGGCCCAGACUCCUACGGUAGGCAGCGGUGGGGAAUAUUGCACAAUGGGCGGAAGCCUGAUGCGGCAACGCCGCGUGCGGGAUGACGGCCUUCGGGUUGUAAACCGCUUUCGCCUGUGACGAAGCGUGAGUGACGGUAAUGGGUAAAGAAGCACCGGCUAACUACGUG
This 468-nucleotide ribosomal RNA is filed under the name uncultured bacterium. Its description in RNAcentral is "partial 16S ribosomal RNA". It matches the Rfam family "Bacterial small subunit ribosomal RNA", at positions 28 to 507 of the family's 1533-position model. The record is from RNAcentral.